This 769-nucleotide long non-coding RNA is filed under the name Bos indicus x Bos taurus (hybrid cattle). Its description in RNAcentral is "lncRNA (ENSBIXG00005025543.1)". The record is from RNAcentral. Lineage: Eukaryota; Metazoa; Chordata; Mammalia; Artiodactyla; Bovidae.
ACACCACUGCUGCUCUUCAGACACCCAGAACCCUCAAGAUGACAAGAGAUGGUGCUACCCAGCUCAUGCCUGGGACUUGGAACACGGACUUCUUCAAGUCUUCUAGCUCUGACUCAAGAAUAUGCUGCAUUUUGGAACCACUACACACCCUAACUCAGGAAUCAGCUCUGGAAGGUUGACCUAAAGGAACGGACGACCCACACCACCGGAAGAGCAGCCCCCGCGGCGACACCCACCCCGGCCCGGCGACUCCAUCUCUGCGGCCCCCCCCUGCCUCAGCCCCGAGACCACCGACAGCCUCCCUCCCUCCUUUUCCUCCUUUUCUGACUCUAUUUUCUGAUCUUCUCUCUGCUAUCCUUUGCUCUGGAGCCAGCCCUGGUCUCUGAGCGUGUGUAAGCGCGCGUGUGUGCACACUGCUGAAUGUGUAGGCCUCCUUGGCCCGUGCUCCCGCCCAGCACCCUUCCCACACUUGCGGGUGCCUGGGAGGGGGCCCGAGUGGGGGGGCCCGCGUGUGAGGGGCCCCGCCCGCCCGCACCGAGUCUGGAGGCUCCGAACAUCAGGAGCACACACCAAGCAUGAACGUGUGUCCAUCUUGCCUAGUGUCCCUCCCUGCCAGGGCCUCCUCAGAUGCCCUGGACUCAUCAAUAAACUCAGUUACAGGAAUUUGUCUCAGGACUCUUGCAUUUGGGAUGAACGGGGAGGGGGGGCUGGGGGGAAAUGGGGCGGGGGAACACGGGAAGGCACGGAGGGCUGCACACAGCGUGGGGGC